This 252-nucleotide ribosomal RNA is filed under the name uncultured bacterium. RNAcentral's name for it is "partial 16S ribosomal RNA". It matches the Rfam family "Bacterial small subunit ribosomal RNA", at positions 524 to 776 of the family's 1533-position model. The record is from RNAcentral.
UACGUAGGGUGCAAGCGUUGUCCGGAAUUAUUGGGCGUAAAGAGCUCGUAGGCGGUGUGUCGCGUCUGCUGUGAAAACUCAGGGCUCAACUCUGAGCUUGCAGUGGGUACGGGCACACUUGAGUGCGGUAGGGGAGACUGGAAUCCUGGUGUAGCGGUGAAAUGCGCAGAUAUCAGGAGGAACACCGGUGGCGAAGGCGGGUCUCUGGGCCGUAACUGACGCUGAGGAGCGAAAGCAUGGGGAGCGAACAGG